RNAcentral lists this long non-coding RNA (216 nucleotides) under Brassica napus (rape). Its description in RNAcentral is "long non-coding RNA (BNAP_LNC025324)". The record is from RNAcentral. Lineage: Eukaryota; Viridiplantae; Streptophyta; Magnoliopsida; Brassicales; Brassicaceae.
GGGAACGUUGAGUUAUGAACGAAGAGACAUGUUUUAGGAAUCUCGUAUUGUUUAGAUAUCAUGUCUUUGAGAUGUUUGAGACCAAUGCGAUGGGUUUAAGGCAAGACCUAGGUUUACUCUCGGUUUUAAGGUUUGUGCGGUGACUAGCUGGCUAUCGGUUUUCCUGUUGCGAUUUCUACCUGAUUCGUACCGAUUUAAAGUCCACGAUAGGUUCUC